AUUGAACGCUGGCGGCAGGCUUAACACAUGCAAGUCGAGCGAGCGGCGGACGGGUGAGUAAUGUCUGGGAAACUGCCUGAUGGAGGGGGAUAACUACUGGAAACGGUAGCUAAUACCGCAUACCAUCAGAUGAACCCAUAUGGGAGUAGCUAGUAGGUGAGGUAACGGCUUACCUAGGCGACGAUCCCUAGCUGGUCUGAGAGGAUGAUCAGCCACACUGGGACUGAGACACGGCCCAGACUCCUCCGGGAGGCAGCAGUGGGGAAUAUUGCACAAUGGGCGCAAGCCUGAUGCAGCCAUGCCGCGUGUAUGAAGAAGGCCUUCGGGUUGUAAAGUACUUUCAGUCGGGAGGCGUUACCGACAGAAGAAGCACCGGCUAACUCCGUGCCAGCAGCCGCGGUAAUAC
This 406-nucleotide ribosomal RNA is filed under the name uncultured bacterium. RNAcentral's name for it is "partial 16S ribosomal RNA". It matches the Rfam family "Bacterial small subunit ribosomal RNA", at positions 30 to 526 of the family's 1533-position model. The record is from RNAcentral.